Molecule: ribosomal RNA, 342 nt
Filed under: uncultured Escherichia sp.
Lineage: Bacteria; Pseudomonadati; Pseudomonadota; Gammaproteobacteria; Enterobacterales; Enterobacteriaceae
Description: bacterial SSU rRNA
Rfam family: Bacterial small subunit ribosomal RNA
Source: RNAcentral
GGCUCAGAACGAACGCUGGCGGCAGGCCUAACACAUGCAAGUCGAACGGUAACAAGAAGAAGCUUGCUUCUUUGCUGACGAGUGGCGGACGGGUGAGUAAUGUCUGGGAAACUGCCUGAUGGAGGGGGAUAACUACUGGAAACGGUAGCUAAUACCGCAUAACGUCGCAAGACCAAAAAGGGGGACCUUCGGGCCUCUUGCCAUCGGAUGUGCCCAGAUGGGAUUAGCUAGUAGGUGGGGUAACGGCUCACCUAGGCGACGAUCCCUAGCUGGUCUGAGAGGAUGACCAGCCACACUGGAACUGAGACACGGUCCAGACUCCUACGGGAGGCAGCAGUGGGA